AUGGAGGCUCCCCAUGGCGCACCAUCUUCUUUGGACCUGUCCCUGACACUGGCCUCCAUGACACCAGGCCCACCAUCAUCACCACCUCCAUGCUCCUCUCUUUGGGCUGCAGGAGACCACCUUGCUGCUGCCGGGGAAAACGGCCAUGGCCAUGGCCAUGGUGGCGCCUGCGAAGCGAGAUCUUCGAGGCGGCUGUUCUCAUGCCUCUUCUGCGAGAAGAAGUUUAUCAAGUCAGAGGCGCUCGGGGGUCACCAGAACGCGCACAAGAAGGAGAGGGUCGGAAGCUGGAACGCCCACCUCUACGAACAUGUCGACCACGACUACCCGCCGGCAACCGCAACGACUAGGGCGCCCAUGAGAUGGCCAAACGCGCGACUUGGCGACAACGCUGAGAAGCAGAUGCAGCAGCAGCAGCAGCUUGGUCUCAACCUUAAGCUUUAA
Molecule: ribosomal RNA, 441 nt
Filed under: Triticum aestivum (bread wheat)
Lineage: Eukaryota; Viridiplantae; Streptophyta; Magnoliopsida; Poales; Poaceae
Description: partial small subunit ribosomal RNA
Source: RNAcentral